AACGAAAAGCAGAGAUCUGAAUGUGGGUCCAGUUGAGUCCAGAUUUCUUGCUCCUUCAUCUCUAUUCCCAGAAAUGCUUGGCAGAGGAAAACGGAGGUGGAAAGUGUGACAGAAAAUGCCUUGGAAACCUGGGGAAGGACGGGGCAUUGCUGGAAGGAUGAAAACAAAGUUCAUUGUGUUUCCAUCCUGCCUACCUCAUACUAACAAGAUGGCUGCAGCAGUUCCAGGCAUCCCGUGUCAACAAGAUUAUGUCCAGUGGAGGAGUUUCCUAACAGAGUCAGGUGGCCUUAUGACCCAGUUGUAACCAUGUGAGAAUAUCGUAGAAGUGAUGCCAGAUGACUUCGAAGGCCAUGUCAUAAAAGUUGAUGCUGCUGUCUUGGAAGCUGAAUUACUUACACGGCAGCACUUGAUCGCCAUAUUGUGAGGAAGCUCAACCAGCACCUGUGGAGAGACUGCAUGGACAGGCCAUGAGACUACCUGAGGGAGACACCCAUUAAGACUGCAGCUUCUCUAGCUUCUCUGCUGUUCUAGUUCCAGCCACUGUCUGACUGCAACCAUCUGUGGGGUCCCAGACCAGAAUCUCACCUCCGAGUCCUCCCUGAAUGACCUCAGAAAUUG
Molecule: long non-coding RNA, 618 nt
Filed under: Mustela putorius furo (domestic ferret)
Lineage: Eukaryota; Metazoa; Chordata; Mammalia; Carnivora; Mustelidae
Description: lncRNA (ENSMPUG00000030782.1)
Source: RNAcentral